RNAcentral lists this ribosomal RNA (664 nucleotides) under uncultured Piloderma. Its description in RNAcentral is "eukaryotic LSU rRNA". The stretch from base 261 to 415 matches the Rfam family "5.8S ribosomal RNA". The record is from RNAcentral. Lineage: Eukaryota; Fungi; Basidiomycota; Agaricomycetes; Atheliales; Atheliaceae.
CUUGGUCAUUUAGAGGAAGUAAAAGUCGUAACAAGGUUUCCGUAGGUGAACCUGCGGAAGGAUCAUUAUCGAAAUUAUAGGUGAGGGUUGUAGCUGGCCUCUCGGGGCAUGUGCACGCCCGAGCCCUUAAUCCACACACACCUGUGAACCUAUUGUAAGGGCCCUUAAAAAAGGCCUUUACGUCUUAUCAUCAACCCAUCGUAUGUCUCAUAGAAUGUAAAUAUAUGUCCUCGCCUUAAAAAGCGUUGAUAAACUUAUACAACUUUCAACAACGGAUCUCUUGGCUCUCGCAUCGAUGAAGAACGCAGCGAAAUGCGAUAAGUAAUGUGAAUUGCAGAUUUUCAGUGAAUCAUCGAAUCUUUGAACGCACCCUGCGCUCCCUGGUAUUCCGAGGAGCAUGCCUGUUUGAGUGUCAUUAAAUUCUCAACUCCGAUCGAUUUGUUUCGACUUCGGAGCUUGGAUUUGGAGCGUGCUGGCGUCGGUCGGCUCCUCUUAAAUGCAUCAGCGGAAUCUAACGUUUCGGACGUCAGUGUGAUAAUCAUGUUGCGCUGUCUGUCUGAUCCGAAAGCCCGCUCACAAUGGUCUUCGGACAACUUCAUAUCAAAUUUGACCUCAAAUCAGGUAGGACUACCCGCUGAACUUAAGCAUAUCAAUAAGCGGAGGA